This 465-nucleotide ribosomal RNA is filed under the name uncultured bacterium. Its description in RNAcentral is "partial 16S ribosomal RNA". It matches the Rfam family "Bacterial small subunit ribosomal RNA", at positions 338 to 795 of the family's 1533-position model. The record is from RNAcentral.
CCUACGGGUGGCAGCAGUGGGGAAUAUUGCGCAAUGGGCGAAAGCCUGACGCAGCGACGCCGCGUGAGGGAUGAAGGUCUUCGGAUCGUAAACCUCUGUCAGCAGGGAAGAACGGUCACUGUGCUAAUCAGCAGUGAAUUGACGGUACCUGCAAAGGAAGCACCGGCUAACUCCGUGCCAGCAGCCGCGGUAAUACGGAGGGUGCGAGCGGUAAUCGGAAUUACUGGGCGAAAAGCGCUCGUAGGCGGUAUGUCAAGUCAAGGGGGAAAUCCCCGCGCUCAACGUGGGAACUGCCGUUGAAACUGGCAAACUGGAGUGUGUGAGAGGAUAGUGGAAUUCCAGGUGUAGGAGUGAAAUCCGUAGAUAUCUGGAGGAACAUCAGUGGCGAAGGCGACUAUCUGGCACAUAACUGACGCUGAGGAGCGAAAGCGUGGGUAGCAAACAGGAUUAGAUACCCCAGUAGUC